This 494-nucleotide ribosomal RNA is filed under the name uncultured bacterium. RNAcentral describes it as "partial 16S ribosomal RNA". It matches the Rfam family "Bacterial small subunit ribosomal RNA", at positions 29 to 523 of the family's 1533-position model. The record is from RNAcentral.
AUUGAACGCUGGCGGCAUGCCUUACACAUGCAAGUCGAACGGUAGAGGGGCAACCCUUGAGAGUGGCGAACGGGUGAGUAGCGUAUAGGAACAUGAACGAUCGGGGGGGAAAACGGAGCGACAGUUACGCUAAUACCGCCUACGAUCUGAGGAUGAAAGCUGGGGAACGAAAGGACUCGCCAGAGCGGAGGGGCGGAUAGCAGAUUAGGUAGUUGGUGGGGUCAAGGCCUACCAAGCCGACGAUCGGUAGAUGGUCUGAGAGGACGACAAGCCACCCGGGGACUGCGACACGGCCCAGACUCCUACGGGAGGCAGCAGUGGGGAAUUUUGGACAAUGGGCGCAAGCCUGAUCCAGCAAUGCCGCGUGCAGUACGAAGGCCUUCGGGUUGUAAACUGCUUUUGUACGGAGCGAAAAGGUCUACUCUAAUACAGUGGGCUGAUGACGGUACCGUAAGAAUAAGCACCGGCUAACUACGUGCCAGCAGCCGCGGUAA